This is a small nuclear RNA of Sarcophilus harrisii (Tasmanian devil), 190 nucleotides long. Its record names the gene U2. It matches the Rfam family "U2 spliceosomal RNA". From Rfam's summary of the family: U2 is a small nuclear RNA (snRNA) component of the spliceosome (involved in pre-mRNA splicing). Complementary binding between U2 snRNA (in an area lying towards the 5' end but 3' to hairpin I) and the branchpoint sequence (BPS) of the intron results the bulging out of an unpaired adenosine, on the BPS, which initiates a nucleophilic attack at the intronic 5' splice site, thus starting the first of two transesterification reactions that mediate splicing. The record is from Ensembl. Lineage: Eukaryota; Metazoa; Chordata; Mammalia; Dasyuromorphia; Dasyuridae.
GUACAUUUGCUUUUUAAAAUAAUAAAUUGUAAAACAUCUUUUCUUAUCAGAUUAAUACCAGAUAAAUCUUCUAUGUGAAGACAAUAUAUUAAAAGGAGUUUUGAAACAUGGAGAUGUGGUAGGAGCUUACUCUCUUCACUCUACACAUCAAUUUCAGUAUUGAAGGACUUCUGGAAAUGGUUUAUUCUCC